RNAcentral lists this ribosomal RNA (210 nucleotides) under Enterococcus faecium. RNAcentral's name for it is "partial 23S ribosomal RNA". It matches the Rfam family "Bacterial large subunit ribosomal RNA", at positions 1 to 211 of the family's 2925-position model. The record is from RNAcentral. Lineage: Bacteria; Bacillati; Bacillota; Bacilli; Lactobacillales; Enterococcaceae.
AGGUUAAGUGAAUAAGGGCGCACGGUGGAUGCCUUGGCACUAGGAGCCGAUGAAGGACGGGCACUAACACCGAUAUGCUUUGGGGAGCUGUACGUAAGCUAUGAUCCAGAGAUUUCCGAAUGGGGGAACCAACAUCUUUAAUAGGAUGUUACGAUGUGUGAAUACAUAGCACAUUCGAGGUAGACGCAGAACUGAAACAUCUAAGGUACC